RNAcentral lists this ribosomal RNA (561 nucleotides) under uncultured Alphaproteobacteria bacterium. RNAcentral describes it as "bacterial SSU rRNA". It matches the Rfam family "Bacterial small subunit ribosomal RNA", at positions 337 to 916 of the family's 1533-position model. Lineage: Bacteria; Pseudomonadati; Pseudomonadota; Alphaproteobacteria. The record is from RNAcentral.
UCCUACGGGAGGCAGCAGUGGGGAAUCUUAGACAAUGGGCGCAAGCCUGAUCUAGCCAUGCCGCGUGUGUGAUGAAGGYCUUAGGRUCGUAAAGCWCUUUCGCCAGGGAUGAUAAUGACAGUACCUGGUAAAGAAACCCCGGCUAACUCCGUGCCAGCAGCCGCGGUAAUACGGAGGGGGUUAGCGUUGUUCGGAAUUACUGGGCGUAAAGCGUACGUAGGCGGAUCAGAAAGUAGGGGGUGAAAUCCCAGGGCUCAACCCUGGAACUGCCUCCUAAACUCCUGGUCUUGAGUUCGAGAGAGGUGAGUGGAAUUCCAAGUGUAGAGGUGAAAUUCGUAGAUAUUUGGAGGAACACCAGUGGCGAAGGCGGCUCACUGGCUCGAUACUGACGCUGAGGUACGAAAGUGUGGGGAGCAAACAGGAUUAGAUACCCUGGUAGUCCACACCGUAAACGAURAAUGCCAGUCGUCGGGCAGUAUACUGUUCGGUGACACACCUAACGGAUUAAGCAUUCCGCCUGGGGAGUACGGUCGCAAGAUUAAAACUCAAAGGAAUUGACGG